RNAcentral lists this unclassified non-coding RNA (491 nucleotides) under Hevea brasiliensis (rubber tree). Lineage: Eukaryota; Viridiplantae; Streptophyta; Magnoliopsida; Malpighiales; Euphorbiaceae. The record is from RNAcentral.
CGUGGUAGAAGGAAAACAAAGCAAAGUUCCAAAACACCAUGAAGCACCAACUCAUAUUAGUAGAGCAGCAACUUGUUUUCUCUGAAGAGACAUCAAUAAACCCCAAAAUGCAAAUCAACCACAGCCUAAGGAGGGCCGACACAUAUGUGCUAGAGACCUCAGACCAAGAAAGACAUAGGAAGCUUCAAAUAGUCCCCACAGUCAUCCAAGGAUGGAGGUGGUAGGGCUUAUUGGCAACUCACUUGCACCUCAUAGGUCAGCCAUUUGGACUUGACAAGGUACCACCAUUAGAAGAUCUUCAUCCUUUCGCUGUCCAUGGACCAUAUCUCGAACCAAUGAUUUAUUUGCUUCCAGCACAAAGAAAGGAAAAGGCAUUAAAAAACUAGCAACCUAAAGAAACCCUCAACCACACAAACCUAGUUGUAAAAAUCAAAACAAAACAUAUCUACAUCAUGAUCCAAGAUGGGGAGAGAACCUAUGGUUGGAUUAGG